GCAAGUCGCACGAGAACGCUUCAGCUUGCUGAAGUUAGUAAAGUGGCGCACGGGUGAGUAACGCGUGGGUAAUCUCCCCCCGAAUUGGGGAUAACAUUGCGAAAGCGAUGCUAAUACCGGAUAAUAUCUAAAGUACCCCGGUACUUAAGAUCAAAGGUGGCCUCUACAUGUAAGCUAUUGUUUGGGGAUGAGCCCGCGUACCAUUAGCUUGUUGGUAGGGUAACGGCCUACCAAGGCUGCGAUGGUUAGCUGGUCUGAGAGGAUGAUC
Molecule: ribosomal RNA, 268 nt
Filed under: uncultured bacterium
Lineage: Bacteria
Description: partial 16S ribosomal RNA
Rfam family: Bacterial small subunit ribosomal RNA
Source: RNAcentral